Molecule: ribosomal RNA, 253 nt
Filed under: uncultured bacterium
Lineage: Bacteria
Description: partial 16S ribosomal RNA
Rfam family: Bacterial small subunit ribosomal RNA
Source: RNAcentral
UACAGAGGGUGCGAGCGUUAAUCGGAAUUACUGGGCGUAAAGCGCACGUAGUCGGCUUUGCAAGUCGGUUGUGAAAUCCCCGGGCUCAACCUGGGAACUGCAUCCGAGACUGCAUUGCUAGAGUAUGGGAGAGGAAAGCGGAAUUUCUGGUGUAGCAGUGAAAUGCGUAGAUAUCAAAAGGAACAUCAGUGGCGAAGGCGGCUUUCUGGACCAAUACUGACGAUCAGGUGCGAAAGCGUGGGGAGCAAACAGG